CCGCAAACCGACACUGGUGCGCGAGAUGAGUAUUCUAAGGCGCUUGAGAGAACUGCGGAGAAGGAACUCGGCAAAUUGAUACCGUAACUUCGGGAGAAGGUAUGCCCUAAGUAAGUGAAGUUGUACAAAUGGAGCUGAACAGGGUUGCAAAAAAUCGGUGGCUGCGACUGUUUAAUAAAAACACAGCACUCUGCAAACACGAAAGUGGACGUAUAGGGUGUGACGCCUGCCCGGUGCUGGAAGAUUAAAUGAUGGGGUGCAAGCUCUUGAUUGAAGUCCCAGUAAACGGCGGCCGUAACAAUAACGGUCCUAAGGUAGCGAAAUUCCUUGUCGGGUAAGUUCCGACCUGCACGAAUGGCGUAACGAUGGCCACACUGUCUCCUCCGCAGACUCAGCGAAGUUGAAAUGUUUGUGAUGAUGCAAUCUCCCGCGGAAAGACGGAAAGACCCAUGAACCUUUACUGUAGCUUUGUAUUG
Molecule: ribosomal RNA, 476 nt
Filed under: uncultured bacterium
Lineage: Bacteria
Description: bacterial LSU rRNA
Rfam family: Bacterial large subunit ribosomal RNA
Source: RNAcentral